Molecule: transfer RNA, 70 nt
Filed under: Rhinoptilus africanus (double-banded courser)
Lineage: Eukaryota; Metazoa; Chordata; Aves; Charadriiformes; Glareolidae
Description: tRNA-Pro
Rfam family: tRNA
About the family: Transfer RNA (tRNA) molecules are approximately 80 nucleotides in length. Their secondary structure includes four short double-helical elements and three loops (D, anti-codon, and T loops).
Source: RNAcentral
CAGAGAAUAGUUUAGUCCAAAAUACCAGCUUUGGGAGUUGGAGAUAGAGGUUUAAAUCCUCUUUUUCUGA